UGCAUCUAGAUUAGAGUUUGAUCCUGGCUCAGAUUGAACGCUGGCGGCAGGCCUAACACAUGCAAGUCGAGCGGUAACAGAGAGUAGCUUGCUACUUUGCUGACGAGCGGCGGACGGGUGAGUAAUGCUUGGGAACUUGCCUUUAGGAGGGGGAUAACCGCGGGAAACUGUGGCUAAUACCGCAUAAUGUCUACGGACCAAAGCAGGGGAUCUUCGGACCUUGCACCUAGAGAUAGGCCCAAGUGAGAUUAGCUAGUUGGUGGGGUAAAGGCUCACCAAGGCGACGAUCUCUAGCUGUUCUGAGAGGAUGAUCAGCCACACUGGGACUGAGACACGGCCCAGACUCCUACGGGAGGCAGCAGUGGGGAAUAUUGCACAAUGGGGGAAACCCUGAUGCAGCCAUGCCGCGUGUGUGAAUAACGCCUUCCGGUUGUAACGCACUUUCAGUGGUGAGGAAGGGCCCUACGAUU
This 470-nucleotide ribosomal RNA is filed under the name uncultured Idiomarina sp. Its description in RNAcentral is "bacterial SSU rRNA". It matches the Rfam family "Bacterial small subunit ribosomal RNA", at positions 1 to 462 of the family's 1533-position model. Lineage: Bacteria; Pseudomonadati; Pseudomonadota; Gammaproteobacteria; Alteromonadales; Idiomarinaceae. The record is from RNAcentral.